AUGAACGCUGGCGGCGUGCCUAACACAUGCACGUCGCGCGGCAGCGAGGGGUGCUUGCACCCUGUCGGCGAGCGGCGGACGGCUGAGUAACGCGUGGGAACGUGCCCCAAAGUGAGGAAUAACUGCCCGAAAGGGUAGCUAAUACCGCAUAUUAUCUUCGGAUCAAAGGAUUUAUCCGCUUUGGGAGCGGCUCGCGUCGGAUUAGGUAGUUGGUGAGGUAAUGGCUCACCAAGCCGACGAUCCGUAGCUGGUCUGAGAGGAUGACCAGCCAGACUGGAACUGAGACACGGUCCAGACUCCUACGGGAGGCAGCAGUGAGGAAUCUUCCACAAUGGGCGAAAGCCUGAUGGAGCAACGCCGCGUGCAGGACGAAGGCCUUCGGGUUGUAAACUGCUUUUAUAAGUGAGGAAUAUGACGGUAACUUAUGAAUAAGGAUCGGCUAACUACGUG
This 450-nucleotide ribosomal RNA is filed under the name uncultured bacterium. RNAcentral's name for it is "partial 16S ribosomal RNA". It matches the Rfam family "Bacterial small subunit ribosomal RNA", at positions 29 to 507 of the family's 1533-position model. The record is from RNAcentral.